CUGGUGUCAGCCGCCGCGGUAAUACCAGCUCUCCGAGUGGUGUGGAUGUUUAUUGGGCCUAAAGCAUCCGUAGCUGGCUAGGUUAGUCCCCUGUUAAAUCCACCGAAUUAAUCGUUGGAUUGCGGGGGAUACUGCUUGGCUAGGGGACGAGAGAGGCAGACGGUAUUUCCGGGGUAGGGGUGAAAUCCUAUAAUCCCGGGAAGACCACCAGUGGCGAAGGCUGUCUGCUAGAACGCGCCCGACGGUGAGGGAUGAAAGCUGGGGGAGCGAACCGGAUUAGAUACCCGGGUAGUCCCAGCUGUAAACGAUGCAGACUAGGUGUUUGGACGGCCACGUGCCGUUCUAGUGCCGCAGGGAAGCUGUUAAGUCUGCCGCCUAGGGAGUACGAUCGCAAGAUUGAAACUUAAAG
This 409-nucleotide ribosomal RNA is filed under the name uncultured archaeon. RNAcentral describes it as "bacterial SSU rRNA". It matches the Rfam family "Archaeal small subunit ribosomal RNA", at positions 452 to 861 of the family's 1478-position model. The record is from RNAcentral.